Camelus ferus (Wild Bactrian camel) is the source of this 72-nucleotide transfer RNA. It matches the Rfam family "tRNA". Rfam says of the family: Transfer RNA (tRNA) molecules are approximately 80 nucleotides in length. Their secondary structure includes four short double-helical elements and three loops (D, anti-codon, and T loops). Further hydrogen bonds mediate the characteristic L-shaped molecular structure. tRNAs have two regions of fundamental functional importance: the anti-codon, which is responsible for specific mRNA codon recognition, and the 3' end, to which the tRNAs corresponding amino acid is attached (by aminoacyl-tRNA synthetases). tRNAs cope with the degeneracy of the genetic code in two manners: having more than one tRNA (with a specific anti-codon) for a particular amino acid; and 'wobble' base-pairing, i.e. permitting non-standard base-pairing at the 3rd anti-codon position. The record is from Rfam. NCBI's taxonomy places the organism in Eukaryota, Metazoa, Chordata, Mammalia, Artiodactyla, Camelidae.
AAGGGUAUAGCACAGGGGUAGAGUGUGUGUUUAGCAUGCAUAGGGUUCUGGGUUCAAUCCCCAGUGCCUCCA